RNAcentral lists this long non-coding RNA (579 nucleotides) under Manihot esculenta (cassava). RNAcentral's name for it is "long non-coding RNA (MESC_LNC000913)". Lineage: Eukaryota; Viridiplantae; Streptophyta; Magnoliopsida; Malpighiales; Euphorbiaceae. The record is from RNAcentral.
GAGAUAAAACGAAUAUAUUUUAAGAUUUCUUCUAUCACUAUGCUUACAUUAGGCGCACAGAUAAGGGCAACCUUUCUUAAACAUCCAGCAAUAAUUAAAGAAAAAAAAAAACCCAACUCUAGGUAUAAAAUUGUGAAAUUUCCUGGGUUAGUCAACAUGUUGGAAGGAUAAUGAGUACCUGAAGGAAAGAAGAAGUUGGCAUGACAUUGUUGUUGAGGAAAAUGUGGAGAUUUAUGGGUAUUUUACAGGGGGUUUUGAGUGUGGAAGGAUAAUGAGUACCUGAAGGAAAGAAGAAGUUGGCAUGACAUUGUUGUUGAGGAAAAUGUGGAGAUUUAUGGGUAUUUUACAGGGGGUUUUGAGUGUGGAAGGAUAAUGCGUACCUGAAGGAAAGAAGAAGAUGGCAUGACAUUGUUGUUGAGGAAAAUGUGGAGAUUUAUGGGUAUUUUACAGGGGGUUUUGAGUGUGGAAGGAUAAUGAGUACCUGAAGGAAAGAAGAAGUUGGCAUGAGAUGUUGUUGAGGAAAAUGUGGAGAUUUGUGGUAUUUUGCUUGAACGGAAUCAAAGAUCAUUGUGGUGCAAG